This 205-nucleotide ribosomal RNA is filed under the name uncultured bacterium. RNAcentral describes it as "partial 16S ribosomal RNA". It matches the Rfam family "Bacterial small subunit ribosomal RNA", at positions 524 to 728 of the family's 1533-position model. The record is from RNAcentral.
UACGUAGGCAGCGAGCGUUGUUCGGAGUUACUGGGCGUAAAGGGUGCGUAGGCGGUUGUUUAAGUUUGGUGUGAAAUCUCCCGGCUCAACUGGGAGGGUGCGCCGAAUACUGAAUGACUAGAGUGCGGGAGAGGAUAGUGGAAUUCCUGGUGUAGCGGUGAAAUGCGUAGAUAUCAGGAGGAACACCGGUGGUGUAGACGGCUAU